Long non-coding RNA from Ctenopharyngodon idella (grass carp), 7722 nucleotides. RefSeq lists it as uncharacterized. The transcript is spliced from 2 exons. Lineage: Eukaryota; Metazoa; Chordata; Actinopteri; Cypriniformes; Xenocyprididae. The record is from RefSeq and is a predicted model, not a curated record.
GGGGUCAUCUGCUGCGAGCCACCCUUUACUGAUGUUUCGCUCCUUUAAUCCCAGAACAUCUCAAGGUGGUGGAGCAGCAGCAGGGACGUCUUCCUGCUGCCCCCCGCAGCUGGUCCUAGGAUCCCUGUUUACCCCAUGUUCUGUCCCUUCUGUGGAGCCAAAGCCAGAAACUCCCACUUUCUGCCUCCUCUGCCAGAUCUCUGAGUGCCCUCUUUUGUUUGCGGCUGGUGGCUUCAGGAGCCGCUGGGUAGAUGCUCUGAUGUAGCUUCUACAGCCGAUUUCUACCAGGAUGGUAAGAACCCUCCACCCAACUUGAGAGCAUGCAGCUGCCAGCUCUGUGGACCUCUCCUUCUUCCUCUCAAAGGCAGCCUCCAGCCCCUUCUCCCAUGGAACAGUUAGUUCAACCAUAAUGACUGUCUUAACAGGGGUGAACCAGAGGACAAUGUCAGACCGUAAGGAGGUUGCGGUGAUCUCUACCGGGAACCUCAGCUGGCGGUCAAGGUCAGCUGCCAUUCUCCACUCCCCUCCCAGUGACAGGAGAGACCACUCCUUCAGGCUGCUGCUUUGGCCCUCUCCCCCUUGCCUGACGAAGUGGAUCCACUGCUGGGAUGUUGUUGAAUGGGCCCUGUUUGCCUCCAGUCUGCGUGUCUCCGGGACUUCUGCAAGCUUGCACAGGACUUGGUUGUGGAGUCAUCUGUAGCAGCCCUGGAUCAAUGCUGCCUUGCACCCAGAGAGGAUGUGCUGGAGGCUUGGAUUCUGGGAGGAACAGAGAUGACAGUUCUCCUCCAAUCUGUACCAAAAGUGUAGGCUCUGGGGGCUGGGAAGGAUGUCAUACAUGGCCCUUAUGAGGAAGCUAAGCCUUGCUUGGGACAUCUUCCACAUAUCAGCCUAUGUGAUGUUUCUGUUGAUAGAAUCCCAGAUUGUCCAUCUGCCUUGCUGGUGUAGACACACGGCUCUGAUCUUGUAGCUCUCCUCCUCCAUCUUCCACACUUUACUGAUCACCAGGUCUUUCCUUUUCUUUGUGCAUGCUUUGGACCACAUUUUGGGUGCAGAUCACCAUACAAGACCUGUUCUUCCUGUCUGUGAAAACCCAACAAUCUCCAGAUGCUUUAGCCAGUUGAUGGUUCCAAGAUGUUCCUCCCAAACAGUGCUACGUUGGAAAGGCCACGUGGGAGGCCAAGCCAUAUCUUGAUGUAGCUGUUUGCUUUCCUGUCCAUUUUCAGGACUGUUGAUGAGGUAAUGUCAGAUAUAUCAGCCAUGUAGGGUCUUCUUUGGACAGGUUGGUGCACAAGGAGGGGAACUUUCUCACAGCUCAAUGAGAUGCAGAUGUAAUCAUUCCUAACUCCCUUACGGAUCGAAAGGCUUCGGGACUUAGCUGGCUUUAUCCUUAUCCAAGCCCAUGCUAGCAGCUCCUCCAGCCUUUUAAGUAGUCUGGAUGUGCACGCAGCUGUCUGGAGGAGCAUGGUGACAUUGUCCAUGUAACUUCUUAUGGCUAUAACACAAACAGAACAUACCUGUUACUAGGGGUGUAAUGGUACAUGUAUUCGUUCCAAACCGUCACGGUGCGGACGUCACGGUUCGGUUCAUGCAGUAUGACAAUGAAUACAGGCGAUCCACACUCCAAUCCAGAAGGGGGCGUGCUUUUUAGCCUAACCUAUUUUUUUAACCAGCAUUAACCACCAAUAAUCACAAUAAGCUCUGUGCUUUGUUACUUUCACAAAGUGCCAUCUUUCAAACUCUAUGCUGUUCUCAGCUUCAGUUUCACAAUUUAGCGACCCCUAGUGGUGACAUGCCUAUAUUUAAGCAGAGCAUGUGCUGUUCAGCCAUUUUGUGUGAGAUGUUUGAGAGUGCACACAGACGAUACCAAUCUCCAUCCACACUUCAUUUACUCUUGGAAAAGGCAUUGUCUUGAUUGAAAUUCCAGAAUCUGCUCCAGAGAGUGAAAUCCCAGAGUCCAUUCCAGUGAGAAAAAUUCCCCAUCCGUUCCAAUGAGAGAAAGUCCCAAGUCCGUUCCAGUGAGAGAAAUUCCCCAGUCCGUUCCAGUGUGCGAAAUUCCAGGCCUGCCCUUCCUGUCUGCCCUGGUGGGAUCGAAGAGGUGGUCCUUACAUUUAUGUUGCUGCUGUUAUGUGUGUUUGCGUCACUCACACAGCCACUCCAGCCCUUGACCAGAGUCCAGUGAUGGCUCCAGCCCCUGAGUCUGCUCCAGACUCCACUUUAGCCCCUGAGACCAGCCCAGAGAGUGCAGCACUGACCAUCAUAACUACGGCUAUUUUGUGUGUGUGGGCUGCACACACAGCCAGAGUUCCUCCGAAAUUUUUUUUUGGUAAGCCAAGGAGGCUGUCCCAGAGCUGUCUUCUCUCCCUGGGUGCUUCUCAAAUGGAAGGCUGCAUCCUACAAAGGCUGCAUAUGUCGGCUGCCACGUCAUCAAAUGUCGCUGAAGGCCGUCUCAAUCAGAAGUAUCCUUGAAAGGCAGCUUUUGUUUCGCAUCCUCCGUUUAGCUGAAUUUGAAAGAUGCAUGGGAUGUAUCCUUCGCGACCUUCAAUCACCCACAAUCCUUUGUACACCUUUCAAUUCACGAAAACAAUUGACAGAAAACGAGUCGGUAUUGAGCUUGUCUGAAUUUAUUAUGAAAUGUAAGACAAAAAUAAUGUUUUCAGACAUGAAAGCAUAGAUGUUAUCUUUUGUUUUGGUGUAAAUUACUCACUUAACAAUAAACCGCCAUUAAUGUAAGCCACUGGGAGACUAUAGACGGCUGUGAUUCAUUGUAUUGCAUUAAUAGAAAGCCAGAUAAUAUAAAGAUUUGUAAUAAAGUAUUUUUCCAAAAUUAAGUUUAGUAUUUAUUUAGCAAUUAAUUAACUAUUUAGCAAUAUAAAAAAAACAACAUUUAACAAUUUUAUAAUUAAUUCAAAGAAGAAUUUGCACAAACAUAAACAUAACUUGUAAUUGUCACAAUUGUGUUGCUGCAGCAGGGAUUAGGCAGAAACGGACUUCUACAAAUGGUGUAUUUAUUAAACAAGGAAUCAGAACAGCUCAUACACAUUAAACAAAGGUUAACAACAAGAACGGACCAGGAGUGCAAGGAGUGAGUCCAACAUAAAGGGAGUGCUAACGAUGAUGAACAGGUGCAGGGAAUGCAGGAAGAGCGGGAAAGCAGAUGAGGGAAGUGAGUUCAGGUGAGGAACAGGGAGGAUCAUGGGAAACGGAGUUCAGGACAGGCGUGACUGUAACAGUAAUCAAUACAUCACACUCUCCCCUACAGGAAAAACACAAAAGUCCAUUUCAACUCACACAAACACUUUUAAGGAAAAAUUGCAAAAAGAAUGAUUCGAAUUCUCUGCUAAAAUGUUUCAAAAAACUUUUCCAAAGUGUUCACUCAAUUUUUUUUUAUAUGCCUUUCAAAUGUCCCGUUGGCCUAGAAACAGUCCAGUUUGUGUAUGUGUAUGCAAAACUCUACUGUUUUGUUCUUUCACAGUCCGUCAGAAUAAUUAGCGUGUAUGUGUGUGCAACAGUUCAUAGUCUUUCACCAGUUCUUUCACAGACCAUAGGAACAAUUAGUAUGUGUUAUUGCAAUUUCAGUUUCAGUUCAUGCUUAAAAACAAACAGAAGGUGGUCUCAGGUUGGGAAACACCACUGGCACCCAAGGCAUUACAGUAGGUGUCCACAUGUUAGAAAACCUUGGAUCACAUUCAGGAUCAGUUACUUGGACUUUGUAACAGGUACGUGCGCCUAGACUAGCAUACGUGCAUCAUACGUAGGGCCCUAUCAUACACCAGGCGCAAUGCCAGGCAGGCCAGGCGUGACGCAAGUGUUUUUUUUUUAGUUUCAGCCCAAUGCAGUUAUCAUUUUCACGUCCUGCGCCAUGCUGUUUAAAUAGCAAAUGUAUUUGCACCUAUUUUUGCACUCAUGGGUGUGCUGGUCUGAAAACGAGGUGUGUUCGGGUGCAUUGUUGGCUCGUUACUAUUUUGAGGCAACUGAAAUAGACUGCAAUAUUUGAUUUGUUAUUUAAAAAGCGCGUUAGUAAUAUGCACCUAUAUGCGGGUGCACAAAGCACGUACACUCUGCUUAUUACACACGCAGGGACGCGCAGCAGCACACAAACAUGCUAAAUAUUAAAAAUAAAAGGAUUACAAUGUAAAAGAUUAUUAUUGUGUGCAAGAUAAAAAUGCUUUGGUGGAAUCCGGCUUGUCCCGUAGAUGGUCUGCUCACGUGCUAUAACCUCGCGCACGAGCAGAUCCGUUUUCUCACUAGAGAAGCAUUUAGUUUUUUUGCUUGCAAAUUCCGCCAUGUAAAUAUCAAAUCCGUCAUGGCGCGAGUGCAACUGGCUUUUAAAGGAAAUUAGAGAGAUGAGACUCUGAUUGGUUCAUUGCACGUUACGCCCAAAACACACCCAUGACUCAUUAAGAGAAUAGGGACAACCCUUUUAGACCAUGCGCCGGGCGCGCCAAUCAUUUUUCCCAUCCUUAAAUUAGCAAAAGUGGAUUUGGACACAUGACGCAUUUGCGCCAUGCACUUUAGACCAUGCGCUUAGAUCGUUAAAAAAGGCCCCGUGAACUUUUUUGGUGGUCGUCGUUGCCUCACUGAAUGAUGAUAUUAAAUCUCCCCAGGUCUGUCACUUGACUCCACUGUUUCGACUGGCUCCUUCACAGUAAGCAUUCACGUGCACUCACUGGAUUGUUUUCCAUUUGCCUUUCAAGCAGUUCAGAUCUGUUCUCCUACACAGGUACAUUAGCAGGUAUUGGAAGAUCUUGUCCAGCCUCAGCUGAAGGUAACUGCUCUAGUUCAAGCUGUAGUAAUGCAGAUAUCUGAUGCAUUCUGAUGAGCAGGCAACUCAGGGGGAGCAGGUUGUAUUGAUGCUUUCUUCAAAAACUGUGCUUCUCUGCUCUAUUCUUUUGACUAGCCCCAACUCAGCAGCUGUCUCUCAGCUUAGAACGUUACUGACAGUUCCUCCCGCUACCACAUACACGGUAAUAGCAUACUUUUUACAUUUAUCUGUCUAGUAUUAUGUUUGAGUAAAGGAGCCGAGCUCUUGGGUGAAGCUUUUCAUAUGUCAGUGUUCAUUAUGCUAAUGUCAUUCAAACACGCAUGCAUAUAGACUACACACGUAUAUGCAUGCUGUCACCAUUUUCACAGAUUCACGUUUUUGAGGUUUACAUGGAAAAAAAACUUGCACUUGCAGUUUUAAAAAAACUUGCACUUUGAAACCUAUUUCAAAGUUUGUGUUCUAAGACCACCAUAACGUCAUUGUCGUGUAAAUUAAUGGCCAGAACGCCAUUAAAAGUUUUCUGUUUUCAGUUGGAAAAGGUGUCGUGUACGUGGCCCCUAAGUUAAUAACUUAUGAUUUUUACAAAUCAUAAUCAAAUCAAUCAAAAACUUACUUAAGCUGGACAAUAACUUUUUUCUAGAGCUGCUGUACAGCCAAAACAACCUUUGUUGCAUUAAUUUCCUAUUGUCACUGUAAAGCUGCUUUGAAACAAUCUCUGUUGUGUGUGUCCUGUUUUACCACACCUGCCACAUACAUUCUCUGUAUCCUUUCUUCUUUCUCACUGCCUCUUUUGUGUGUCUCUUUCAUCCAGGGGGCUACCUCUUACACGCUGCUCAUUGACUGACCCUCCUGCUGGCUGAUCUGCUGCGCAACAUCAUCAGUCUGCCACGUCAUCUGCAUCGCCAUUUCCAGGGUAAGUGCUGUCAUUAGCUGCAUUCUUUAUAAAGCUCUUUAUCCUGAAUUCCGACUACAAGUCUGUCUCUUAUAUGUUCGUUUCGACUUGCACUAAAUUCACAGUUCCUAGAGGGCUCUGAUGUAGCACUUAGCCUUUUCUUCGGGCUUCUGCACUCUCUGGUGGAAACAUGCCUGCUCAUGUAUCAUGUUCUCUUUCGGCAAAAAAUAUUAAUCAAAUUUUCCAAGCAACGUCAAGCACUUUCCUUUGCCGAGAAGGUGAGCGAUUCGAAAAUGUUCUGUUUCAGUGCCCAUAGAAUGUAAUAAAGUGCUAAUCUGUACCUCUUUAUCUUCUUUGCUCAGUUUUGUUGCAGACCUGUAGUGCACAAACCUGGCCACUCUGCUGGACGAUCAAAGUUCAAACUUUCUGGCGGAUUCAAUUUCGACAUAUUGCUCUUCUCUUGUUUUUACACUUCCGACACCAUGUCUAGUAUACAUUUACAAGGAGGCAUUAAUCAUCUCUUGAGAUUUAUUGAAGAGCCCCAGAGACCAGUUAGUAUUCAGUAUUCUGUAUUCAGUUAGUUUACAUCAGGAACACUCUUACUCACUUCUGUGUGUAACUUGUCCAUACAGUACUCCUUAAGUCCCCCUAGUGGGCUGGAUAGUACAACACAUCCUUCAGGUAAUUUACAUUACCCUGACACAUUUUACCCAAUCCAUCCUAAUGUUUAUUUUGGUCAAGAGAUAUGUGUGAUCGAGACCUAAUCAGAUUAUACCCCUGAUAAAAGACCCCCACAUUUUUAAGCCUCCCAGUAGUAGGCUUUCAACUAAAUGAAAAGGACAAGCAGAAACAUAAUGAUCACAAGAUCACAAGUUUAUUUAUCAAAAAGACACUAUUAAAACAUUGAGCUCAACAUUCGUAAGAAAAGACACUUUACGCUUAAAAGUCAACCACUUGGCUUAAACCAAGCUAGCAUUCAGUGGCACUGGUAGCAGAGGUGGCCAAAAUACCUUGCUUAUGGGGCCCCCAAAAGACGAGUCUUCAAUUACUAUACAAUGUGCUUCAAUGCUACAACCAGCCCAUUGGCUUUGGUUUAGUCAGACCAAAUGAACCGGCCACCCCUAUACGCAAAAAAAAAAAAAAAAAGAUAAUAAUAACAACAGUAACAAUAAUAACAAUAACGACAAUAAUGAAUAACAAUACAAAAAAAGAAGCAACAGAUCACAAAAAAAAAAAAAAGAAAUAGCACACCCACAAAAAAAAAAAAAAAAAAAAGAAUUACUACAGGUGGAUAGUUUCUUUGAUGUUAUAUCGUUACACCAAACAUUUCAUACAGCUCAAAUCAUGAACCAAGAGUGAAAAAAAGUAAUACAUUUAAACAAUCCAAACCGACCAAAAAACAACAAAAUUAUACGUUAACUACUUUAAACCAACACAACAUAAUACACCAUAAGAAAGGAGAAAAAAAAAGAAACUCAAAAAAAAAGAAUCACCCAAAAUAAACCAUAAAUUCUCAGUUUCUUAACUGAGCAAUAUCAAUGUAUAGUAAGACAAAGAAAUAAUACCCAACAAACCCCAAUAACAAAAUUCAAACAAACACCUAAACCAAAUCAACUAACAAUGAAACCAAAUAAUACAAAUAAGAAUAAUACAAUAAACAAACCAAGCAACAACAACAACAACAACAACAAAAAAUAAAUAAACUUCAAUCCCACUCAAAUACACACACACACACACACACACACACACACACACACGCACACACACUUUAACAAGACACACACAAAAAACAAACAACACAAAUCAACAAUGUACUGGCUCAAACGACCACCAGCUGGCAGCGGAACAAAAGGCCACAGUCUUGCAUCUCCAAGGCAAGCGAUGUACAGACAAUAACAGACUGAAGGCGUUCAAAGCAACAGUGCGCAAGCAACACUCCGACGUCCCAAAACUGGAGCAGGCAAAUUUGAAAUGAGCUCAUUUUGUGCAUAAAAAAAAUGUAAAAUUUCUCCAUUUAAACAUUUGUGUUAUCUAUGUUCUAUUGUGAAUAAAACAUUGGCUCAUGUGA